Molecule: ribosomal RNA, 435 nt
Filed under: uncultured bacterium
Lineage: Bacteria
Description: partial 16S ribosomal RNA
Rfam family: Bacterial small subunit ribosomal RNA
Source: RNAcentral
AGCGAACGCUGGCGGCAGGCUUAACACAUGCAAGUCGAGCGGGCACUUUCGGGUGUCAGCGGCGGACGGGGGCGUAACGCGGGGGAACGUGCCCUCUGGUUCGGAAUAACUCAGGGAAACUUGAGCUAAUACCGGAUAAGCCCUCUUGGGGAAAGGCUUGCUGCCGGAGGUUCGGCCGGCGUCUGAGUAGCCAGUUGGUGAGGUAACGGCUCAGCAAGGCGACGAUCAGAAGCUGGGCUGAGAGGAUGAUCAGCCACACCGAUACGGAGACACGGACCAGACUCCUACGCGAUGCAGCAGUGCGGAAUAUUGGACUAUGGGCGCAAGCAUGAUCCAGCCAGGCCGGGUGAGUGAUCAAGGUCGGAGGGAUGUAAAGCACUUUUAUCCGGGACGAUAAUGACGUUACCGGAGGAAUAAGCCCCGGCUAACUUCGUG